CCUACGGGUGGCUGCAGUGGGGAAUAUUGCACAAUGGGCGCAAGCCUGAUGCAGCCAUGCCGCGUGUGUGAAGAAGGCCUCCGGGUUGUAAAGCACUUUCAGCGGGGAGGAAGGCGUUAAGGUUAAUAACCUUGUCGAUUGACGUUACCCGCAGAAGAAGCACCGGCUAACUCCGUGCCAGCAGCCGCGGUAAUACGGAGGGUGCAAGCGUUAAUCGGAAUUACUGGGCGUAAAGCGCACGCAGGCGGUCUGUCAAGUCGGAUGUGAAAUCCCCGGGCUCAACCUGGGAACUGCAUUCGAAACUGGCAGGCUAGAGUCUUGUAGAGGGGGGUAGAAUUCCAGGUGUAGCGGUGAAAUGCGUAGAGAUCUGGAGGAAUACCGGUGGCGAAGGCGGCCCCCUGGACAAAGACUGACGCUCAGGUGCGAAAGCGUGGGGAGCAAACAGGAUUAGAUACCCGUGUAGUC
Molecule: ribosomal RNA, 465 nt
Filed under: uncultured Klebsiella sp.
Lineage: Bacteria; Pseudomonadati; Pseudomonadota; Gammaproteobacteria; Enterobacterales; Enterobacteriaceae
Description: bacterial SSU rRNA
Rfam family: Bacterial small subunit ribosomal RNA
Source: RNAcentral